UACGUAGGGUGCAAGCGUUGUCCGGAUUUAUUGGGCGUAAAGAGCUCGUAGGCGGCUUGUUGCGUCGUCCGUGAAAACCCGCAGCUCAACUGCGGGCUUGCGGACGAUACGGGCAGGCUAGAGUUCGGUAGGGGAGACUGGAAUUCCUGGUGUAGCGGUGAAAUGCGCAGAUAUCAGGAGGAACACCUGUGGCGAAAGCGGCUCACUGGACCAUAACUGACGCUGAUGCACGAAAGCUAGGGGAGCAAACAGG
This 253-nucleotide ribosomal RNA is filed under the name uncultured bacterium. Its description in RNAcentral is "partial 16S ribosomal RNA". It matches the Rfam family "Bacterial small subunit ribosomal RNA", at positions 524 to 776 of the family's 1533-position model. The record is from RNAcentral.